This 233-nucleotide ribosomal RNA is filed under the name uncultured bacterium. Its description in RNAcentral is "partial 16S ribosomal RNA". It matches the Rfam family "Bacterial small subunit ribosomal RNA", at positions 794 to 1024 of the family's 1533-position model. The record is from RNAcentral.
UCCACGCAGUAAACGUUGUACACUAGGUGUAGCGGGUAUUGACCCCUGCUGUGCCGGAGCUAACGCAUUAAGUGUACCGCCUGGGGAGUACGGUCGCAAGACUAAAACUCAAAGAAAUUGACGGGGGCCCGCACAAGCGGAGGAGCAUGUGGUUUAAUUCGAUGAUACGCGAGGAACCUUACCUGGGCUUAAAUGUAGAACGACCUCCCGUGAAAACGGGAUUCUCUUCGGAG